This 253-nucleotide ribosomal RNA is filed under the name uncultured bacterium. RNAcentral describes it as "partial 16S ribosomal RNA". It matches the Rfam family "Bacterial small subunit ribosomal RNA", at positions 524 to 776 of the family's 1533-position model. The record is from RNAcentral.
GACGUAGGAUGCAAGCGUUGUCCGGAAUUAUUGGGCGUAAAGAGUUCGUAGGCGGUUCGGUAAGUCUGGUGUUAAAGCCCGAGGCUCAACCUCGGUAUGGCAUUGGAAACUGCGGAGCUAGAGUGCGGUAGAGGUCAAGAGAAUUCCCGGUGUAGCGGUGAAAUGCGUAGAUAUCGGGAGGAACGCCAGUGGCGAAAGCGCUUGACUGGGCCGUAACUGACGCUGAGGAACGAAAGCUAGGGGAGCGAACGGG